RNAcentral lists this transfer RNA (76 nucleotides) under Bacteroidales bacterium. Its description in RNAcentral is "tRNA-Gly". It matches the Rfam family "tRNA". From Rfam's summary of the family: Transfer RNA (tRNA) molecules are approximately 80 nucleotides in length. The record is from RNAcentral. Lineage: Bacteria; Pseudomonadati; Bacteroidota; Bacteroidia; Bacteroidales.
GCGGAAGUAGCUCAGUUGGUAGAGCAUAACCCUUCCAAGGUUAGGGUCGCGGGUUCGAACCUCGUCUUCCGCUCCA